This 337-nucleotide unclassified non-coding RNA is filed under the name soil metagenome. RNAcentral's name for it is "partial contains 5.8S ribosomal RNA, internal transcribed spacer 2, and large subunit ribosomal RNA". The stretch from base 1 to 120 matches the Rfam family "5.8S ribosomal RNA", at positions 35 to 154 of the family's 154-position model. The record is from RNAcentral.
GAUGAAGAACGUAGCAAAAUGCGAUAAGUAAUAUGAAUUGCAGAAUUCAGUGAAUCAUCGAAUCUUUGAACGCACAUUGCGCCCCUUGGUAUUCCAUGGGGCAUGCCUGUUCGAGCGUCAUUUGUACCUUCAAGCUCUGCUUGGUGUUGGGUGUUUGUCUCGCCUCUGCGUGUAGACUCGCCUCAAAACAAUUGGCAGCCGGCGUAUUGAUUUCGGAGCGCAGUACAUCUCGCGCUUUGCACUCAUAACGACGACGUCCAAAAGUACAUUUUUACACUCUUGACCUCGGAUCAGGUAGGGAUACCCGCUGAACUUAAGCAUAUCAAUAAGCGGAGGA